UGGGGAAUUUUGACAAUGGGGGAAACCCUGAUCCAGCCAUCCCGCGUGUGCGAUGAGGGCCUUCGGGUUGUAAAGCACUUUUGGCAGGAAAGAAACGUCGCGGGUUAAUACCCCGCGAAACUGACGGUACCUGCAGAAUAAGCACCGGCUAACUACGUGCCAGCAGCCGCGGUAAUACGUAGGGUGCAAGCGUUAAUCGGAAUUACUGGGCGUAAAGCGUGCGCAGGCGGUUCGGAAAGAAAGAUGUGAAAUCCCAGAGCUUAACUUUGGAACUGCAUUUUUAACUACCGGGCUAGAGUGUGUCAGAGGGAGGUGGAAUUCCGCGUGUAGCAGUGAAAUGCGUAGAUAUGCGGAGGAACACCGAUGGCGAAGGCAGCCUCCUGGGAUAACACUGACGCUCAUGCACGAAAGCGUGGGGAGCAAACAGGAUUAGAUACCCUGGUAGUCCACGCCCUAAACGAUGUCAACUAGCUGUUGGGGAGUUUACUCUUCGGUGGCGCAGCUAACGCAUUAAACAUUCCGCCUGGGGAGUACGGUCGCAAGAUUAAAACUCAAAGG
RNAcentral lists this ribosomal RNA (558 nucleotides) under uncultured bacterium. RNAcentral describes it as "partial 16S ribosomal RNA". It matches the Rfam family "Bacterial small subunit ribosomal RNA", at positions 355 to 907 of the family's 1533-position model. The record is from RNAcentral.